Long non-coding RNA from Amphiprion ocellaris (clown anemonefish), 1289 nucleotides. Lineage: Eukaryota; Metazoa; Chordata; Actinopteri; Pomacentridae. The record is from Ensembl.
AUGGAAGAAUGGACAGACAGACGGAUUGCUGACAAACUGCUGGCUCCAGGCGGGAAGCAGCCAUGAACCAGUGAAAGGGGUUGUAUUUUUGGAACAUGUCUGUCGGGACCAGAGGAUCACAGCAAGAAGGAAGGGGGAGGGCAAGGAUACUUUUGUCUUUCCCCCACUGUGUACAGAACGCGAUGUAGAAUAUCAAAACGAUCCCAAGGUUGAGGAGAUGGUCAGCCAUCAGCACUCCAUCCUAGUGUUGCAUGAUCCUCUGCAAGUGGACUGUACAUCUUUGAUGUGAUCUCUUUGUACAAGUGCAUCAUUUUGAUCGAUCAUUUUGGGACUUUUGCAGACACUAAUAUUGUGCAACACUAAUGCUGUCUUUGAAAAAAAUGUGUCUGAUUUUAUGGCUCAAGAGUUGUACAGGAAUUCAUGGCUGCAUUUCAACAUGUUUACUUUUUCUGUGCCUCUUCACCAUUUGGAUAAGCCAAAGUAGACUGCAGUUGCUUUUGUUCGUGUUGAAUUACCUAAAUUAAUUUUAUUUGAUCAGAGAUUGAUAUUUAAGUCUCGGUAGUCCGUCCACUUUGCCACACUGAGCUGAUGUCUGCAACCUUUCUGCAUAUUUUAUCUGCAGCUAAACUUUCCCUGAAGCAAAGUGCAAAAAAGGCUUGAGACUGAUGAACUUCCUGUUUUUUUCCUUUUUAUAUGUCAAUAGUGAACUGCUGGACUUAAUUCUUUAUCCCCUCACUUCAUAUAAGGCUAAAUAAUUUACCAAAAUCGUUUGAGCCCCUGAGAACCAAAUGCAUAGCUGCGGAUGAUUGAUAAACCAUGUCUAUGUUAAAGUAACAAAUCCCCUGAAGCAGAGCGCUAAAACACAUUAGCUCUUUACACUGGUACUUGAUUAUGUCUUAAUAUUUCUACUUUUUACAAUUAAUCUUUUGAUUUAAUACAACAUGUUGCAAAAACUAAAAAGAUAAAGGAAUACAGGUCUCAAGCUUGAAAAAAAUGCAUGUGUAGUGUUCUUUAUGUGUAUUUCUUCACUUCUUAAGCAUUUGUUUGCUGAUAGUAUUUUCUCUGACAUCUGGCUUUAAUAUCUGCUGUUUUCUUACGUUAUUAUUUGUAUUAUUCUAUUAUCACUGCAAUUUUACUUUGCCCCAUUUUUGCUUGUCUGUUACUGGUCUAUUUUGUUUGUUUUUAAAGUAUGUUAAGUAACUUAUUUCACUUGUACAAACAUGUUGAUAUUUAUUAUCAUUGUACAUAUGUCCUUAUUUUUUAUAUGUGUACAUAUACACAAAUAAAAA